GAUCCUGGCUCAGGAUGAACGCUAGCUACAGGCUUAACACAUGCAAGUCGAGGGGCAGCAUGGUCUUAGCUUGCUAAGGCCGAUGGCAACCGGCGCACGGGUGAGUAACGCGUAUCCAACCUGCCUUACACUCUUGGACAGCCUUCUGAAAGGGAGAUUAAUACAAGAUGUUAUCAUGAGUAAGCAUUUUCGCAUGAUUAAAGGUUUACCGGUGUAGGAUGGGGAUGCGUUCCAUUAG
RNAcentral lists this ribosomal RNA (238 nucleotides) under uncultured bacterium. Its description in RNAcentral is "partial 16S ribosomal RNA". It matches the Rfam family "Bacterial small subunit ribosomal RNA", at positions 15 to 244 of the family's 1533-position model. The record is from RNAcentral.